CCGUCGCACCUACCGAUUGAAUGUUUCGGUGAAGAUUCCGGACUGUGGCUCGCGUGCUUCACGGCGCUCUUGCCGUGGGAAGUUAUCUAAACCUCAACAUUUAGAGGAAGGUGAAGUCGUAACAAGGUUUCCGUAGUGAACCUGCGGAAGGAUCAUUA
This 158-nucleotide ribosomal RNA is filed under the name Alaria esculenta (Atlantic wakame). RNAcentral describes it as "partial 18S ribosomal RNA". It matches the Rfam family "Eukaryotic small subunit ribosomal RNA", at positions 1673 to 1831 of the family's 1831-position model. The record is from RNAcentral. Lineage: Eukaryota; Phaeophyceae; Laminariales; Alariaceae.